AUUGAACGCUGGCGGCAGGCCUAACACACGCAAGUCGAGCGGAUGACGGGAGCUUGCUCCUUGAUUCAGCGGCGGACGGGUGAGUAAUGCCUAGGAAUCUGCCUGGUAGUGGGGGACAACGUUUCGAAAGGAACGCUAAUACCGCAUACGCCCUACGGGAGAAAGCAGGGGACCUUCGGGCCUUGCGCUAUCAGAUGAGCCUAGGUCGGAUUAGCUAGUUGGUGGGGUAAUGGCUCACUAAGGCGACGAUCCGUAACUGGUCUGAGAGGAUGAUCAGUCACACUGGAACUGAGACACGGUCCAGACUCCUACGGGAGGCAGCAGUGGGGAAUAUUGGACAAUGGGCGAAAGCCUGAUCCAGCCAUGCCGCGUGUGUGAAGAAGGUCUUCGGAUUGUAAAGCACUUUAAGUUGGGAGGAAGGGCAGUAAGCUAAUACCUUGCUGUUUUGACGGUACCGACAGAAUAAGCACCGGCUAACUCUGUGCCAGCCGCCGCAGUAA
Molecule: ribosomal RNA, 500 nt
Filed under: uncultured bacterium
Lineage: Bacteria
Description: partial 16S ribosomal RNA
Rfam family: Bacterial small subunit ribosomal RNA
Source: RNAcentral